This 178-nucleotide unclassified non-coding RNA is filed under the name uncultured Mucoromycotina. Its description in RNAcentral is "sequence contains ITS1". Lineage: Eukaryota; Fungi. The record is from RNAcentral.
AAAAUGCGGGGGGCUCGCCCCUUUCUUUUUAACCUGUGCACUGUUUAUUAGGCGUGGUAUUGAUUUUCAAUUCCCGCCGCCCGGGUGGCAUGAAUCAGUUCCCUUAGGGGGGCCGAGGAGUGCGCCCAAUUAUUUGACUAUUCUGACUGAUCAAACAAUGAAAUUGUUAACAUAUAAA